CUUUGCAAUCUCUUUCUAUAUCCAUAGUAGGGUUGUUGUUAUUGUUGUUAGGGUUUGAAGGUGAAAAGGAAGAGGAAGAAGAUGAAGAAGGUUGGUAUUUGUGACGUGCUUCUGAGAGAAGUUUUAUGAGUUUUUCAACACUUUCUAAACCAGAAGCUGCUUCUUGGACAGCAUUUUCUUCUGCUUUGGUAGUGAAAGAUUGGUUUCUGUUGUAGCCUGUCAUGAGCUCCACGGCCAUUGUUGUGGCAACAAGACCAUAGAAGAAGAAGAAGUUGAAGAAGAGGAUGAGAGAGAGAAAAUAAAACGGGUGAGAAUAAAGAGGUAGAAAGAGAGAGGGUGUGUGUUGACAAAGAAAAGAAAAAGGGGUUAUGUUUAUGACUUUAUGUUAUGUAAAUAAAUGUUUUCUUGAAAAAAAAUAUUUGGUCAAGGAAAAUAUAUUAGUCAAAAACAAUCUUAAAUUUCUUAAUUUUAUUUUCAAAAUCUUAAUUUUCUUGAUUUUAUUUUCAAAAAGAAUUUUAGUCAAAAAGAAAAUGUUCCUAGUAACAAGUGUUCUUAAAUUUACUCUUUAUUUAUUACAUUCAUCUAUUAUCAUUUAAGAAAGAAAUAAACAUAAUAUGAACUAAAGAGAUUCGCUAAUUAAAAUGAAUUUCAUUGAUAUCGUAUCACCAGUUUAUCUCUAUUCAUUUUUGUUAAAGUAAUUUGUUUGGUCUAAAAUAUUUGCUCUGUCUUACUAUAAAAGUUUUAUUUGUAAAAAUAUUUUGUCUUAAAAUGAAUUAUUCUUAGCGAGAUUUGUUAUGACUCUAUGUUAUGUAAAUAAAUGUUUUCUUAAUAAUUUUUUAAAAAGAAUUUUAGUCAAAAAGAAAUUCUAACUAGUACUAAUGUAUUCUAAAGUAGUCUUAGCUAUAUUCCUCUAGUGAAAAAGAUAGAUAUAAUGGGGAAAUUAGUGACACCAUUAUAGAGAUUCAAUAAUCAAAAUGGAUUUUACUAAAUGAUAUUAUCUCUUUUAUGAAUGAAUGGUAGAUAAAUAGAAUAAAUCUCACUUGUCAACAAAAAUAAAAUAGAAUAAAUCUCAAUUCAUGUUAAAGUAGCUUGUUUUAUCUAAAAUAUUUGCUUCGUCCUAUUAUGAAUGAUAUAUUUGCAAAAAGGUUUGUCUUAAAAUGCAUCAUCAUUUUAAUUUUUAAUAUGAUAUUAAUUACUUGAUUUAAGCGCAAAUUUUGUCCUCUUAUUUUGACUAUUUUGUGGAUUUUAUCAUUUUAUUUUAAAAUCCUAGCGUUUUGGUCAUUUACCGUAUUUUUGAACUAAAAUAUUGAUAAUGUUGUGAUAUAAUUUAAAUGGAACGGUAUGAUAUGAUGAUGAGAAAAUAUCAAUCGAUGAAAUUGUAAGAAAAUCUUUUUAAAACUUCAUUUAAAGUGAAUCAUUUUUUUUUAAAAAGGAUUUAAAAUGAGUAAUAUUACCGUAAUUUAGACAAAAUAUUUGAAGGAGAUAUCAUAACUAUUAAGUUUUAAAAUAAGAAGAUUAGUGUCACAAAACGGUGAAAAUAUGGAGACUAAAAUUAUAAUUCAACCUAAUUAUUUUUUAAUUAUAAUAUUUAAUUAAUAUUAUUUUUAUCACUUUGAUAUUUGUAUCUUUCACUUUUGAUUGAUGGUAAUGAUUAAUUCAUAGGUACUUGAUCAAUGUACUCUUCCGUUCCGGAUUAAUUGAGUCAUUUGCUUAUUUCACACAUAUUAAAAAAAAUGUAUAAGUGAAUGAGAGAGAAAAUGAUUUUAAGUGCUCUUGUUAAGCACUAUUCGUGCAUUCUUUACUAUCAUAAAUGUAAAAUGGAAUAUAUUAAAUUGAGAGUGAUGAAAGUAUUAUUAAUUAAAGUUAUAAAGGGAAAAAAUAAUUAAUUAGAGUAUUGUAUUAAUAAGUGAAAUGACUCAAUUAUUUUAGUAUAUUUUUUUUUACAAAUGACUCAGUUAUUAUGGGAUGGAGGGAGUAAUUUAGUAAGAGAAAUAUCCUAUCAAUUUCAUUUCUACACUUAUUUACUCUAUGAAAUGUUUAAACGAGUCACUUUUUAUGGAAUAGUUGGACUUAGGAGUGGAAAUAAGUCAGAUCGUUCGUUAAGGGCCUAUGACUUAGCCUAACUAAACCCUAAUUCGGUCUAACUUAUUUAUUAAAUCUGUCAUGUUCAAUUUUUUUAAAAAACUUAUUAAUCUAAGAUAGGCUUGACUAAUGCUUACAAAAGCCUACUAUGCCAGCUAGAUCGAUCCAUAUAUGUUUAUCUAUGUAUACUCCGCUAUAUUGAUAAAUUGUUUCUUCUUUCAAAUUUUCAAUACCGCAAUUUAUUUAUUUAUUUACUUGCAUUUUUUGUUGUUUGAAAUUUUUCCAAUGACUUACGAAACUCUUGGUAUUACUCUCUUAUUUCAAUCCAACAAGUAUACAUAAUUUUGGGUAUCAAGCUCUUAAUCUCUUCUUGUUGUCAUUCUCAUCUUAUUCUAGAUUACAAAGUAAGAAACUCUAUUGGCAACAAAAAUAAAAGGUGAUAGGUCAAAUUUAUGCAAUACACACUUAUGUAUGUACAAGCUCUACAAAAUUUUAAUUGUCACAAAAAUUGUCAUCUAAAUGGAUAUUCAAAUAACACAACUCUAUUGGAUAUGCAUGCAACAUAUGCUUAUAAAAUGGGGGAAAAUGGAUGUACAUACUUUACAAAAUUUUAUCAACAUAUCAGUCUUUUACAAAAUAUUUAUUAGACUUUUAGACAAGUUAAAUAGGUGAGCUUUUAAAAUGUUAGGUCAGACUUAAGAUAAAGUCUUUGACAAGUUAAUAUGGACUUAUACUUUAUUUUUUUUUAACUAGACCUGACCUAUUUAAGUGAAGGUCGAUCUGACCCGGCCUAUUCUCACCCCUAAUUGGAGUAAGAGUUUUUUAAAAAAAUUGUGCAUAUAGCAUAUUGAAAAUUGAUAAAAAAAAAAAAAAAAUGAAAAUUUGGUCACUAUAAAAAAUAAAAAUAGAUGUUAUAUUCUAUGUAGCAUAAAAAAUAGAGUUGCGUACUUGCGUUAUUUUGAUACAUAAUCUUCACAUUGCACUGGAUCGCGGCUUGUACUGGUGGACAUGGCAUCAUCAUAAUUUUAUGUGUCAUAAACAAUGAAAUUUGGUCACUUAAUCGUCUCUCUUUCAAUAUUUAGAGUAUGGUAGAGAAUUCCAAAAUUUGUUUUUCCGUUAAUUCCAAUGCAAUGCUAGGUGAUAGAAAUGUUAAGUGGAACAAUAGUAAUUAACCAUUUUUACAUCAUUCUUAAGUAAAUGUUAACAUUUGUCUUUACGACGACAUAUGUUAAUGAAGUUAACAUAGCAAUAUUUUUUUUUUUAAGAAUUAACAUAGCAAUAUUCAUUUUAAAAAUUUUACAUUCAUCUUUUAAAAGUUAAACAAUAAUUUUUCAGCGUAUCAUUGUCACUUCGUUAAUAUUGUAUGCUUUUAAAUAAAGUUUCAAAUAAAUCUUUAGAGGUAAAUGUUAAUUUGUGCCUUUAAGAGCAGAUGUUAAGGAACCCAUUAUAAAAAUAUACGCAUAAAAAGUUGUGCAUUCAACUUCUUAAAAAUUAAAAUGUUACUCCCUCUGUCCUGCAAUAGACGACUCAUUUGAAAAUACUUCCUCCGUCCCUUAAUAGAUGACCUAGUUGACAAUAUACAUUAUUGACUUGACAUACUUUGAUCCUACUUUUCUACUAAUUCACAAAGAUAAAUAAUAUCAUGUAAGAUGUUGUUGAAUUCGUCUCGAUGAAUAUUUUUAAAAUAUUAAAUUUUUAUAAUUUUUUUAGUAGAGAAUUGAAGAUAUCAAAGAUAAAAUAUAUGUAUUGGUACAUGUGUCAGAGUCAACUAGAUCAUCUAUUGAGGGACGAGGGAGUAUGUAAUUUUGACCUAAUUUAUUUUGACAAUAUUUUUCUACUAAUAUACAAAGAUAAAUAAUAUCAUAUAAGAUGUCGUUAGAUUUGCGUCGAUGAAUAUUUUCAAAAUAUCAAAUUUUUAUAAUUUUUUCUAAUAUAUUAUUCAAGAUAUUUAAAUUCAAAAUUAUGCAUUGACAUGCGUAAUAAGAUCAAUUGUGUCAAGUAUUAAGGGACGGAGAGGGAACAUGUUUUUCAAUAGUACAAAGUUGUUGUUUUUUCUCUAACAUGUGCCCUUAGGACACUAGUUGACAUGACCCAUUUUAAAAGAGUAAAAAAAUCUAUUAAAAAUUUAAAAAAUUAAUGAUAAUUUUGUCAAAUUUAAAUGAUUAAAAGAAGUAUUUAGCCAAAAGAAAAAGGACAUGAUUGUAUGAUGGAAUAGCCGUUUAGGGUGCCCUGGUCAAAAUGGUGGCAUAAGAUUCGGCUGAUUUGGUCCACUAGAUGACUGGACUGUCACGUUAGCCUCCUUACCCGUUACCGUCAAACAUAGGUGCAAAUGAAUGAGAUCUAAUCUAAUCUAAUCUAGUACUGUAACAAACAAGAGUACAAUGGUCACAUUACAUACUUGCACUGUGAACAGAGAAAAUACUUUUUUAUUACAACUUUUAUUUUAUUUUAUUCAUUUAUUGUUGUGUUUCUGAGUGGAGGACGUUGACCUUUUCUUAAAUAUAGUGGGUCCAUAUGAGUGAGGUUAUAAUAGUUUGUGAUGAGAUUGGAAAUAGGGGAAUGAUGAAGAAGGGGCAAUGAUGUGUGAAACGGCAAGAGGAUGGGUUUGGUUUUGUUUUGCCAGCAUAUGCAAUGUUGACUUGGAUUGACACCAUAAGAAUUUUUCAAUGGAUUGUUAUCAUUGCUUCGUGUUUUUCCCGUGUUUCCUUCCCUUUUUUUUUUGCUCAUAGAUUGGUUUAUCGACUAAAGUGUUCAACACGUCUUUUAUUUACCUAGAGGGUCAUGGUAGUAAAUGUUAUAAGGAUUGUUAAAAAAACAGUAAAAAUAAUAAGGGUUAAAUAUGUUUUUAGUCCCUAUAAAUAUAUCAACUUUUCGUUUUAGUUCCUCUCAAAUUUUCCUUCAACUUUUAGUCCCUAUAAAAUUUUCAAUCACUACUUAUAGUCCCUAUUUUUAAGUUAAUUUUAGUAUUUUUUAAUGAAAUUGUGUAGAAUAUUGUAAAAAUAUUUCCCAAAAAAAAUUAGAAUUUUUUAACAAAACAUAAAUUUAAUAUGAAUUUUUAACCAUAAAAAAUAUAAAAAUUCAUAUUAAAUUCAUGUUUUGUUGAAAAAUUCUAAAUUUUUUUAGGAGAGAUUCUUAUAAUAUUAUGAAUUUUUCUGCAAACUUUUAUUCAAAAAUGUGAAUUCUACAUAUAAGUUUACUUUAAAAAUGGACCAAAAGUGAAGAUGGAAAAUUUUUGGAGGACUAAAAGUUGAAGGAAAAUUUUAGAGGGACUAAAAUGAAAAGUUGGUAUAUUUAUAGGGACCAAAAACAUAUUUAACCCAAAUAAUAAUUGAUGAGUUUAAUCAAAUUAAAAGUUAAUUUUAAAGUUUUAAUAUAAUGAAUGUAGAUAUAAAGUAUUUGGAAAAUGAUAUUAUGUGACCUUAGGGCACAUGUUAAAAAAUUUAAAAAAGAAACAAUUGUCUUAAAAAUUGUGCAUUCAACUUUAUUCAAUUUUUAAAAAUCAAAAUUUUGUUGUUUUCUAUAAAAAGUUUCUAAUUUUGAAUUUCUUAACUUGUGCCCUUGCCCUAAGGGCACAAGAUAACAAGACCCAAAGUUUUUUUUUCAUAAAUCGGGUAUCGUCAUGCGCACAAGUGCGAAAACUAAUCACUCGAGCCUUGUGAGACCUAAAUGGUGACAAACUCUUCCUAAGACUUUUAACGUUGUUGCAUGUUCAAGUCCGGAUCCGACGCUAGGACCUUGGUUAACCUGGAAGGGACCUUCACCAUCUCAUUUAAGCUCUAUUAAGUAGAUAUAAAGUUUUUGUAUUGAACUUUUUAUCAAUUACUCAAAAUGAACUUGUUAACGUUUUCCUUAUUUAAAAGAUGUUUGAAAGAGGAGUAUCAAAUGUCUUUAAUUUAAUGGUUUUGUUAACAAGUGAUUUAAGGACGUUGUUUAAGAAAUACACAAAAUUAAUUGGGAAAUGUUAACCAGUGCCCCGAAGACACUAGUUAAGAAGCAAAUAUAAUAUGUACUGUGUUGAAAAUUCUGUUGUCAAUCCCUUAAAAGUAAACAACGUGUAUUUUUUAAUUUAAAACUUUUUUUUUUAUUUCCUUAACCAGAGUACCGGGGCACCGGUUAACAUGACACAAAUUAAUUUUUGUUUUGAAAAUAGGUUGACCACCUUACGUGACAAUAACUCCCUUAUACACCCUUAGGUGGCAUAAUUUAAUUUAAAAUAAUACAUAUUCAAUUCUCUCUCCAUCCGUGAUGAUUAAGAUACCUCUCUCUCUCUUAGAUCGUUGUUGUUGAAAGGCUACCAUCAAACAUGUCGUAGAUCCUAUUUUAUAUACAUGCUUAUAUUUUUAUUCGUACUAAAGUAUGAUUAUGAUCUUAAUCUUUAUAGAGCACAUCUUGUAUUGACAAGUUAAUAAAAUAAUAAAUGAGGGAACGGAUCAUUCAACAUAAUGAGAGGAAGAUAAGAAAAAAUUAACAUUUAACGGAAUUGAUCAUUCAACAUAAAUGAGGAAACCCAACCUGUUGUUCUGGUAUAUCUCUAGGAUGACCGAGUAGUAGCUCUCGAACUUGAGUGAUCGGAAGUUAUGCACUAAACCGUUCGUGAGUUACAAACUUGAGGGAUAUUUUGGUUAGUUUGAGGUCCCGUGAGCAAUUCAAGGGGUCUAUUAAGAAAUUCCCAUGAUAAAAUGGAAUUUAGCCCAUCAUUAUUAGUAAUUAGGCCUUGUCACCCAUAAAUGAUAAAAGUUAUAAACUUACCCCAGAAUAACAUUGCUACCCUACAUUUUUACAAGUAUCCCACCUCGUUUGUAUAUAAUUUUUUCUGCUACUUAAUCCAAUCACACAUUAAACACUCCACAUAACACACGGUUUAAAAUCUGCAUUUUACCAAAACAAAAACAAAAACAAAAACACAUUUACAGUUUAUCUUUUCUUAAAAUGUAGGUUGUAAACAAAUAUGUUUAUUUAAAUUAUUUUAUCUUUUCUCAAAGUGCAUAUUGUAAACAAAUAUAUUUACAUUUUUCAUCCCUAAAAAAAAAAAAGCUUAAAUAUGAUUUUCGUCCCUGUAAUUUGGACCAGUUUUGAUUUUCGUUCCUGUAAAAAAAAAAACUUCGAAAAAUAUCCCUAUAAAUUUUUUUUGUUUGAAAAUGGUCUUUGACCCCACUUCCGAUCUGAUUUGGCAUUGUUUUUGCCACGUGGCAAUUGCUGACUGUGCAACUUUUACCACGUGGCAUGCCACAUAAUUAAUUUUUUUUUCAAAAUUUUGAAAAUUCUAUUUUUAAAUUAAAAAAAUCUGAAAAAAUUUAAAAAUCAUAAAAAAAUUCUGAAAAAAAAAACUUUUAAAAUUAAAAUUUUUGAAAAAAAAAGUGAAAAUUAAAUUUUCGAAAAUUAAUUCUUUUUUUUUAAUUUGAAUAUUAUAUAUUACAUUUUUUUUCGAAAAUACUGAAAAUUAUAUUUUCAAAAGUUAUAAAUUUUGAGAUUAUAUAAUUUUUAUUUUAUUUUUCUUCAUAUUUUAAUUUUCAAACAUUUAUUUCCAUAUGUAAAGAAAAAAGUAAUUUCCAUUUUUUUCUUCAUAUUUAAAAAAAUAUUGGAAUUUUUUUAUGAUUUUUUUUUCAGUUUUUUUUUAUUUUAAAAAAUAAUUUUUAAAUUUUUAAUGGCAUGGACUGCCACGUGGCCAAAACCAUACCAUGUCAGCAAAAAAGUGGGGCCAUUGACCUUUUUCAAACAAUUUUUUUUUACAGGGAUGUUUUUUAAAGUUUUUUUUUAUAGAGACGAAAAUCAAAACUAACCCAAAUUACAUGGACGAAAAUCAUAUUUAAGCCAAAAAAAUAUAGCUACAAUUUUUAAAAUUUUGUAGGCGCAUGCACAAAUCCUUUAAAUCUUGCACGGUACACCAUUCUUCUCUAUCAUAAGAUCAAUUACUUAAAUCUACCAAGGGUUUGAAAAAUUUACACGUUUGAGUUAAAAGUUAAAUGAGUUGACACAGUUAAAAGACUCUGAUUCAACUAUAAUAAAAUAGAAAAUACUAACAUAAUAACUAAAACUUUAUUCAGGAAAUAGAAUAUAAAUUAAGGUCAUGUUAACUUGUGUCUAGGGGUGGGCAAAAAUAUCCAAAAACUGAACUAAACCGAUUAACCAAAAUGAACCAAACUAAAAUUAACCGAACCAUUACAUUGGUUAUUGAACUGAACCAUUAUUUUAAAAACAGUUCAUUAACUGAACCGAACGGUUAACCGAACCAAACCAAACUUAAUUAACUGAACCGAACCAUUACAUCUCAAUCAACCCAAACCAUUGUUGAACAAAUUGAACCAAAAUCUCCACUUUUCCCCUUCUCAUUUCUUACUGUCGCGAAAUUCACCCAAAACCACCAUGGUAGAAGAAACUCCAUCUGCAUCUGAGACUUCCGUCACAAUGCCUCAUGUAACGCCCUAGUUGUUAUAUUUAAUUAUUUUAAUUUAUGUGGAGUAUAUAUAUAUAUAUAUAUAUAUAUAUAUAUAUUUGUAUAUAUGUGUGAUUUUUGGGUGAUUUAUGUGGUGUAUUAGUUUAUAAUAUGAUUUAUUUAAUAAUAAUUAGAAUAAGUAGGAAAUAAUGAUUAUUUUGGAGUUUGGGAAAUAUUAGGAGUUAUUAGAAUUUAUGGGGAGUUAAGUGUAAUUAGAAGGGAGUUACUUUUGAAGUGGGAAGUUAGGAAAUAGAAGUUAGAAAUUAUUGUACGUGAGAAACUGUUUUACGUGAAACCAAGCCAAGGGAGAGGAAACCAGGAACAAGGGAGAAGAACCAAGAGAAUUCUUUUGCUGUGCAUUUUUCAAUUCUAAACUAAGGUAAGGGUGAGGUUUACUUCAAUAGUGUAGACUUUAGAUUCUGAUUUUGAGUUUAACAGGUUUUGGUGAAAAUUGGGGAUUUUGGGUUUUAUGUUGAAAUUGUGGAUUUUGGAGUUGUGAGUGUGAAUUUGAUGUUAGAAAUAGGUUCUAAGUACAUACAAAAAGUUAAUUUGUAUCUGUAAACUGAUUUGGGGAGUGAUUGGAAGAAAAAUGGGAUUUUGGGGAAAAACCAGUUUUCUGCCCGUACUGAUGUUCAUCGCUCGCCUCGCGAGUGAACAACAUCAUCAUUCGCCUCGCGAGCAGUCCAACUCGCCAUGGCGAGUAGCCAGAUAAAAUUGUGAUUUUUGAAAAGUUGUUAUAAGAUGUUUUGGGGAUGAUUUAAGGUACCUAGAUGAUAAUAAAGAUGAAUGGUGGAAGUUUUAGGUUAAAAAGAUGAAGAGGGAAUUUAGAAAUGGGAUUUGAGUGAGAAAAUGGCAUUUUUCCCGAGAGCACCUGAUUUCCACUCGCCUUGAGUUCGCCUUGAACUCGCCACGGCGAGCUAGUGUUUUUGUGAACUCGCCAUGGCGAGCAGAUGUGCUCGCGAGGCGAGCUGCACAGUUCCUGAGAGUUGUUUAACUAGCUUGAAUAGUGGUGGUUGAAUGUUGUUGUAUUUGGGCAUGGUUAUAUAUAAUUAUGCAUUAUUUUUGGUUGUUUGAAUUGCUGGAUCGAUGAUUAUUGAUGAUGGUUGAAUGUAUGUUAUUUAGUGAAUCAUACAUAUUAUUAUGGUGGAGUCACAUGGAGUUGCAUUGCAUGGUCAGUUGUAUGUAGAUAUACACAAGUAGGUCCAUUGCAUAUGCAUAAAACAGCGGUGAGGGCUUCGGUCCUGGAGUACUAGUUGCUCAACAGCGGUGAGGGCUUCGGUCCUGAUGAAUGCUUUAACCAUUCAAAAGCGGUGAGGGCUUCGGUCCUGUUGGUACCACAUGCAUAAUUCAUUUCAUUAAGAAGUCUAAGAUUGUGUCUUAGCAGUUGUCAUGUCAUGUGCAUGAGUCUUAGUUGUUGAUUUCAUUUAUUACCUGAUGGAUGAUGUUGGUGUUGAAUAUGCAUUUAUAUAUAUUCAUUGUGAUCAUGGUGAAUUGUUGAUGUUUGUUGUUGCUUGUGACUUAUACAUAUAUAUGUUUACAAGAUUUUGUGUUGUUGAUUAGGGUGUUAGAUUCAAUUGAUGAUUUUAAUAUCUAUAUUUAUUGUUGUGAAUCUCACCCCUUCUGCUUGAAAAUGUUGCCCUUCCUAUGGGUAACUUGCAGGUGAUCCUGAGUAGUUGGUGGUGGCUCAAGAGUCGUGUCUAGGGCUCUGAUAUGUGGGAUGGGAACUGUCAUUUAUAUUAUUGUUGUUUUUCCUUUCCAUGUAUCAAAUUUUGGAACUUGUUGAUGUGGCCCUUUGCUGGUCGACUUAUUGUUGUUUAGGCCUUUAAUGCCGCAGACUGUUGUUGAAUUGAAAACUAAUCCGCUGCUAUGUUUUCAUAUUAUAUCGAGUGGUUUGAUUUAAAUAGUUUUAUCUUCUAUUUAAGAACUUUUGAAAUUGCAAUGUAGCAUACCCGUUUUAUGAAUUACUCUGAUGAUUAUUUGUUAUUUAUUUACUUAUGGGUAACGGGGUGUUACACCUCAACUAACCGAACAUGUCACACUCGUCGACGGAACCCUAAACCUCGACAAAAACAGAACAACCAUCAACGUCGCCGCGGAAGCCGCCGCAACUUCUGCUCCGACGUCCAACAACGACGGGUAGAAGUCUCUGGACAUGGCUGAUGAGCUGAUGGGAGAGGGAAACAAAGCUAUGAAAGAGAACGAUUUUGGUGAAUCAGAUGAUAACUAUAGUCGUGCUCUUGAGAUCUGGUUCAAUUCGUGGAGCUACUUCUCUUUGAUUCGUUUUUCCGUUAUUUCAUUGUAGAUUAUUCUAUCGAUUUUGAUUGCUUAAUUGCUCAUACAUGUUGAAUUUGAUCUUUCGGUCCGGAUCAAUUAUUAAGUUACGAAACGGUUAACCGAACGAUAACUUUGAUUCAGUUCAAUUCGUUUCAAAUCUUAAACGGUUCAGUUCGGUUAUUCCGAAUCAUUUCAAUACUUCGGUUCGGUUCAGUUAAUAUGGUUAACCGAACCACACCCACCCCUACUUGUGUCUUAAGGAAAAUGUUAAGGAUUUUAUAAAUGAUAAAUAUUUAUUACAAAACAUUAAUUUUCAAUCUCUAGAAAAAUAAAUUGCACAAGACAAAAUUUUCACUUCGAAUUCCUUAACAUGUGCCAAGUUACCAUUUCACUAUAAAUUAAAUCCUUGAUUAUAAGUAGAGUAAAUAGUCAUUUUAUUCCUGACUUUGCACCUCGCUGUCACUUCAGUCGCCGAUUGAGGAUAAAAUACAAUAAAGUGCCUGAAUGUGUACAUCUGUUAUCAGUUUAGUCCUUACCGUUAAUAACUACCGUUAAAUGAUGAUAUGUCAAUAAUAGGGGCCAAAUUGAAAGUAAAAAAAAUAAAAAAUUAUUUUUAUUAAUGAUAAAAGAAAUAAGAAUAAGAAUAUUCAUCAUCUCCAUCUCUAUCUUCAUUUUUACCCAAAAGAACAACAUCUUCAUUAAUAAACCCAAAAGAACAACAUAAUCUAAAAGCAGUUUUAAGAUUACUCUAAAGCAGCUUAAUUUUGAAUUAAAAAUAACUGCAGAGCAGAAAUGAGAUUGCAUCAGUAACAAAUAUCUUUUUAUCAACCUGCUGCUCAUACCAUAUGGAAAUGCAUCACUGUUCAUCAAGUGAUUAAUAUUGUUCAAAAUGACUUAGUUGUGAUUGAAAACCAUAAUAACAUAAUGACGUGUGAUGAUUAACUUAACAGGCGUUUCAUCUUUAAACCCAAAAGAACAACAUCUUCAUGAAGAUGGAGAUGAAGAUGAUUUUUUUUUUUAAACAAAAGGAAUUAUAUUAAAUUUUUUUUUCAAGGUUACAUAAAUGUCUGAUGGACUCGAGAACAUUUUCCAUCCAAGUCAUGUUGGACUCGGCAUCUAAAAAGCCCUCAGUUUUCCAAGUAGCAGCUACUAAAACGAGACCCUGUGAAUCUCUGGCCACCGUGCCUAUAGCCCCCAAACGCAUUCUAGCAUCAGUGUUAAUCUUAAUAACACCCUCGUCCGGUCUUCUCCAUUUAACGUUACUGUUGUUGUUAUUUUUCUAUUAGCAUCAAAUCGAUUAUUUUGAGAUUGACACUGAGCUUCAUCAGCGUGCGUCGUUUGCCCGGUGAUAGUCAAGGACACAGCUUGCAGUGCGCUGGAUUAUGAGUUCUGCAGGUAUUAUGGUGAUGAAGAUGAUGAAUAUUUUAUUUUUUUUUGUAUUUUUUUUAUCAUAAAUAAAAAAAAUAUUUUUUUUCUUUCUUUCUCAUAAUAAAAAAAAGUUCACUUUCAAUUUGGUCCUUAGGAUUGACACAUCACCAUGUAACAGAGUUUUUAACGGUAAAAACUAAACUGAUAACAGAGAUACACGUUCAGGAACUUUAUUGUAUUUUAUUCAGAGUCGGAGACUAAAGUGACAGCGAGAUGUAAAAUCAGGAACUAAAGUGAUUAUUUACUCUUAUAAGUAUUUAUUUAACAAAUAUUGCUCACUUUGGUAUUAAAUAUAGAUAAAAAGUCAAAAGUAUUUGGUCUAAAUUUAGAUAAAAUACAUUUGAUUUUUUAGUUAUAUAUAUAUGAGAAAGUGAUAGAGAAUCAUCUUAAGAAAGUUAGUAAAUAUAGCAACAAAAAAUUAGAUUAGUUAUUGACAAUUUUAAAAUUUUGCUUAAACAAAUGUAACUUUAUGCCUCAAAUUACCGGGUCACGCAAGUAUUUGAUGUGUAAAAUGUGUACGUAUUGUAAAAUAUGGAGUACUUUUUCUUCUGCAUUCAUAACAUGAAAUAAAACCGUUUGAGAGAAGGCACCCAUGAAUUUGGAUCUCUAUAUUCCCUAAAAAAACACACAAUUAUAUCUAAAAAUAUCAAUCUUUAAAAAAAAAAAUAAAAAAAUAGGGUUAAUAUGUUUUUGGUCCUUAUAAAUAUACCAACUUUUUGUUUUGGUCCCUCUAAAAUUCUCCUUCAACUUUUAGUCCCUAUAAAAUUUUCAAUCACUAUUUUUGGUCCCUCUUAUAAAGUAAAAUUAUAGGGUUAAUUAAGUUUUUGGUCCCUAUAAAUAUCUGCAAUUUUGUUUUUAGUCCCUAUAAAAAUAAAUCACACUUUUUAGUCCCUACAAAAUUUUCCGUUAGUGUUUUUAGUCCCUGUUAAAUAAAAAUUCGUUUAAUUAUGCUUAAAAUUUUAGACUUUUUAAUGAUUUUUUACAUACUUAUUUAAAACAUUAUAAAACGUUCCGCCACAAUAAAUUAGCUCAAAAUUUUAUUUUUAGUUCUAAAUUUUCGUUAGUUUUAUCUUGAAUUUUUGGCGUUUUAAAAAAUUCAUAUAUAAUUCAUUACAUGUUAAAAAAUUCUAAUUUUUUAUAAAAGAGAUUAUUAUAAUGUUCUUAACAUGUCUGUUAAAAAUCAUUUAAAAAUAUAAAAUUUUAAGUAUAAUUAAACAAAUUUCAAUUUAACAGGGACCAACACAUACUUUUAGUCCUUGUAAAAUUAAAAUUUGCUUAAUUGUGCUUAAACUUUUAAAUUUGUAACAUAUUUUUCACAUACUUACUUAGAAUAUUAUACAAAGUUCCUCCGCAAAAAAGUAACUUAAAAUUUUAUUAUUAGGUCCAAAUUUUCAUUAAUAUAAUCUUGAAAAUUUGGCUUUUAGAAAAAUUCAUAUUUAAUUCAUUACAUGUUAAAAAACUAAAAAAAUUUACAAAAGAGUGUCUUACGAUGUUAUGAACAUGUAUGUAAAAAAUCUUUCAAAAAUUUAGAAGUUUAAGCAUAAUUAAACAAAUUUUAAUUUAACAGGGACUAAAAACACUAACAGAAAAUUUUGUAGGGACUAAAAAGUGUGAUUUAUUUUUAUAGGGACUAAAAACAAAACUGCAUAUAUUUAUAGGGACCAAAAACUUAAUUAACCCAAAAUUAUAUGUAGAAUUCCUAUUUUUGAAUAAAAAUUUGCAGAAAAAUUUAUAAUAUUAUAAAAAUCUCUUCCUAAAAAAAUUAGAAUUUUUAAUAAAACAUGAAUUUAAUAUGAAUUUUUACGAAUUCAUAUUAAAUUUGUGUUUUGUUACAAAAUUCUAACUUUUUUUUUUUUUUUAUAAUAUUCUAUACAUUUCUGCACAAUUUCAUUAAAAAAUACAAAAAAUAACUUAAAAAUAGGGGCUAAAAGUAGCGACUGAAAAUUUUAUAAGGACUAAAAGUUGAAGAAAAAUUUUAGAGAGUUUAAAACGAAAAGUUGGUAUAUUUAUAGGGACCAAAAACAUUUUUAAUCCAAAAAAAUAUAAUAAAAACAUCUUAAAGUUUGCAAAAGAUUUUAUACACUCCUAUUGGUUGACCUUAAAAAAUGUAGUACUAUAAGCAUUUUAAUUUUUCUUCAACUUAGCAGUUAUAGAUCUCCCUUUCUACUAUCAAAUAGAUUUUGCACACAACUAACUUCGUCAAUUUCGCAUUUAACACUAAUAACGAUAAUUCCAAUUAUCCACAAAAAAUAAUGAUAAUUAAUUAAUUAAUUAGUUAUCACAUCCUUCAUUAAUUAUGUUCUAGGGUCAAAUCUUCUAGACCAAAAGAAGAAACGAAACGCUAAACGUUAAUUAAACAUUUAAAUUUAAACUAAACUAUAGCAUCAUCAUCACCAUCUUCAUCAUAAACUAUAGCAACUAAAUACAUAAACGAGUUCAAUUUUCUCUCUCUUUGAGUGAAUGAAAGAGAAACAGUAUGAAACUCUCAACAUUGUUACAGAACCGCCGGAGCAACAGCAUCAAAGAACAGCCGUUAUUUGAAUCCUCCGGCGACGUCACCGGAAAAUCUCCGUUAAGCUCUUUCUGGCUCUUCCUCCAUGCCGCGUUCUGCCUCAUCAGCCUCGCCUUAGGAUUUCGUCUCUCCCGCAUCUUCUUCCUGCUCCUUUUCUCAACUUUCUCCACCGUUCCGUUCAACUCCGGCGCCGGCGAAGGUGAAAUCUCCGUUCCAAUCCGUGUUCGUUCUUCUCUCACGGUGAAUCCGAUCGAGAACAUUGAGAAUCCAGUGGAAAAAGUAGCUCCGGUCAGCCGUGUGGUAGUCGGCCGGCACGGGAUCCGAAUCCGGCCGUGGCCGCAUCCGAAUCCGAAUGAGGUGAUGAAAGCUCAUAAGAUAAUUGAAAGAGUUCAAACGGAGCAGAAAGCGUUGUUUGGAGUGAAGAACCCUAGGACGGUUAUUGCAGUUACGCCGACGUAUGUGAGGACGUUCCAGAAGCUCCACUUGAUCGGUGUGAUGCAUUCGUUGAUGCUUGUGCCGUAUGAUCUGGUGUGGAUCGUGGUGGAAGCUGGAGGAGUGACGAAUGAGACUGCUUCAAUUGUUGCCAAUUCAGGACUCAGAAGAAUAAUUCACAUUGGGUUUAAUCAACGGAUUCCGAUUUCGUGGGAGGGUAGACAUAAAUUGGAAGCUCGAAUGCGACUUCAUGCUUUAAGGUAUAUUCCAAUUUUGGAGAUAUUGGUUGACUUUUUUCACUACUUUGCGGAUAAGGAAUAAUAUUGUUCCUUGUUAUCUCUGUAGUAUCGACAUUUCUGAUCAAGGACGUGUCUAGUGUCUGAUACAUGUAAGUGUCUUACACCGUGACACGAAACUAACGCAUGUGAUUACGUUUAAUCAUAUCAUUUUCUCGAAUUAUUAUUGGUGUUGACAUGUUAGUGUCGUGCACUCACACUUGUCUAUAUAUAGUUUAGAUGCAUCCGUUAUUCAAUGAAUCUGAAAAUAGAAUAUUUACUUAUAAUAGUGAUCGGAGGGAGUAUGAAGCAUCGACAUAGAGAAUAUAAUAGUGACCCGAGGGAGUAGUUUAUUAUAAUUGACAAAUAGUGUUUAUUUCCGCUGUUAUGAUUUUUUUUUUAAUUUGUCAAUGUGCCUUCCAAUUUCCAUUCCCGGAUCACAGAAGGCAGACUAAUCAACCAGGUCUGGUCUUACUGUAUGAUCUGAAAAUUUAGUUGAUUGAUAGGUAAAACAAUUGAUUGUUUGUAAUCUGGUGGAACAGAAUUGUGAGAAAAGAGAAGCUGGAUGGUAUUGUGAUGUUUGCGGAUGAUAGCAAUAUGCAUAGUAUGGAGUUAUUUGAUGAAAUUCAGAGUGUGAAAUGGAUAGGAGCAGUUUCGGUUGGAAUACUUGUUCAGUCUGAUACCGAUGAAUCUUCAACCUCACUGAAGGAGGAGGUGCCGCCAAUGCCAGUACAAGGUCCUGCUUGUAACGCGACAAAUCAUUUGGUUGGGUUGCAUACAUAUGAUUCCUUAAAAUAUGCAAGGAGAGGUGCAGUUUACAUAGGUGACAGGGCACCUGUGCUACCUAGGAAGCUUGAAUGGUCUGGGUUUGUGUUGAACUCCAGGUUGGUUUGGAAGGAUCUUGAUGAUAAACCAGACUGGAUUAAGGAUAUUAAUGCGUUCGAUGGAGUUGAUGAAGAUAUCGAUAGUCCACUGUCUCUGCUGAAAGACAUCUCUGUGUUAGAACCACUUGGGAGUUGUGGACGCCAAGUUUUGCUUUGGUGGCUGCGGGUUGAAGCUCGCACAGACAGCAAAUUCCCACCUCGGUGAGUAUUCUCUUGAUUUAUAAUAUAGUGCUUACCCAUGUUUGGCUAUUAUAAAAUAUUCUUGAAUCAGUAUAAAAAAAGAAGUAUUUAUAGCUUUUGGUGAUUCCUUUUUAUCAUAUGGAAAUCUGUGUAGCAUUGCAUUUAUUUAAAUUAAAUUGUCCACAAGAUGAAAAGUAGAAAGCAAAUGCCAAUGCAUAAAACUUGGAGUCUCUAACAAUUUAGAUUCUAGAACAUAUUCAAGAGAUUUUAGUAUGCUUGGUAUUGUGGUAAGUCAGAAAAUAUACUAUUUGAUUGGUGUUUCUGCGGAUAACAUGAACCCAUCCGUUUGCUUGCAUAUGCAAAAUCAAGCACCAUGUGAUUUUUAGAUUCUGUGUGUUUAGUUGUGUGUUUGCAAACUUGAAUUUUGAUGAUCUUGAUUUUGUGAAAUUAAUUUUAGUUAAAAGUGAAUUUGAAAUGAGUAAUUUAUGUCUCGGAAGUUCUAUCUCAAAAGUAAGUUUUUUUUGGGAAAGUUUGUAUGAAAUCAUAAACGAAACGCAAAAUCUGUGUUCUCACUUUUAGUCUAAUGUGUUUUUAGGAGAAAAUAAUUUUUGCUUGACAGCAUCCAAACGUCCAAACUCAAUUUAAAACCCACAUUUUACACUCACAAAUGUGGAUUCAAACAUGCACAAGUAGUUCUUUUGAAGCACUUGCUAAUAUCAUCUAGGUCAGAGUGGUUUGGACUAUGCAGGACCUAGCUUACUAAGUGACCUGCUGCCAAAUUGGGUUGAUUUGUUGUAGACAUCAGAUGUUGUUUCAGGUCAAUUAGGGAUGCGAUGUUGUUGACUUAGACAAAUACUCAUAUUUAUAUAUAAAAUUAUUACAUUUUCAGGUCAAUUAGGGAUACAGUCUUGUUUGACUUGGAAAAAUAUUCAAAUUUAUAUAGGAAAUAUCUAUAAUGAAAGAGAGAAACUGAGAGUAUAUUCAGAAGGUUCUAAAAAUGUAUAAAUCUUUCUUUAUGUAAAAGGUUGAUUUAAUUGAAUCUGUGGAAUGAAAUCAAACUUUCAGAAGUCAAAUUUGAUACUCUUAACUCUCCCUCCCUCUCUCCUGUUACUACAUUUCCUUUUAGAGACUGCCCCAAUUGUCUGAAAUCAUUAUGUGUUCUAUAUGGAUACAAUUACUAAUUUGAAGCACAGCUACUAUUUUGAAGUAUCCAUGCUACAAUGGUUGUGCCACAAAUUAGAGUAUUCUGAAGUAAGUGAAUAUCUGAAGUAAAAAAAUAAAUACAAUGAACUGUGAUCCAAAUGCAAAGUAUAGUAUAAAGUAAGUUGUAAGGUUAUUGACAACGAAAAUCUGUCAAAUGCAAUGUUGCAUUUGUGUUAGAACCAAAACUUUUUUAGCAACUUUUCUUUUUAAAAUAUAGUAUGUACACGUUCAUUAAAUUUACGCGGGAUGUCUGCGGGUUGUAAUGAAUAACCAAAUUUACGCGGGAAGUCAACAAACUUGAGAAUAACUGCUGAUGGAUUUGUCCCGCUGAGAAAAGACAGAGUUUUGCUAAAUGACGUGGAUAAGGUUCCUCUUUUUGUGGCGGUAUUUCAAUUUUCUGUUAUGUUUGGUUACAUUAGAGGUUUCUUUCUAUGAUUGAGAAAGGGGUUUGGGAUCAUACUUUUACCAUUAUUAUUUAGAGCAAUCUCAUUAUUUGAAUUAGAUAUUUCUACUAAUAUUACCGAUAAUUUAUAGUAUUUGAAUUAUUAAUUGUCAAUAUGAUACCCAAUCAAAAAAUAAAACAUGAAUCUGUAAUCUAAAUCUAACAACAAUCCACAUUUUACCAUUCAAUUAAAUAGUUUUUAUUCUUAAUUCUUUAAAAUCUACAAAUUAAAUAAUCAUUAAUCAAUUAAAAAGGUUACUUUAUUUAUAUAAAGGAUCUUAUUAACGAGUGCCCCGGGGCACUAUUUAAGCAUUCAAAAGUAAACAAUUAUUUUUUUAAAAAAUCAAAUAUUUCAAUUUCCAAUGCAUUGAAUAGACGCAUUUUGAUAAAUACUUAUCACUCAUGGUCUUUAACUAGUGCCCCGGGGCACUAGUUAACAUUUCCCUUAUAUAAAAGUAUCUUGUUCCCUAGAAAUAUAAAAUCCAAAAAUGUUUGAUGUUAUCAAGCUCGAUUCCUUUUUUUCCCCUUCCUUUCUUUCAUAUGUAUAUUCUCUUUCCCAAAUACUCUAUUUACAUGUUAUUCUUUGACUUACAAUUUUAAAUUUAAUUUGAAUAAAGGAACUAACCUAAGAAUGAAAGAACUAAGAGUACUAACCAUCAAUCAUUUAAGACUAAUUCUUAAUCUUUUGACUUUAGUAUUGAAACCAAUAUUUGUUUGUAAGAUUUACUUGAGGUUUAUAGUUAUGCACAUAAUUUACUUUUGAAACAGAAAUUUCUCAAAUUUAUGCUUGAAUUGUAUUGAAUACAUUUGCAAUCAUACUUGUUACACAUGCAACACACAUGUCAAUAAGCUAGCGAUUAUGUAUACAUGUUCCUAUGAUUUACAAGGGAAGUCUAAGGAUAGUAAUGAAUAACCAAAUACAGUAUAAGUCUCGUACAAAAUUGAGAAUAAUUUUUAUUGGAUUUGUCCACUGAGAAAAAGCAAAAAGUUUGUGUAAAUUUCAUGGAUAAAGUUCCUUUUUUUGCAACUCCUGUUGAGGGUGCAAGGGAGGGUAUUCCAAGGUUGAGAAAGGGGUAUUGGAUUCUAGUUUUAUGAUUAGACAAACUCAGAACUCCUGCUUGUCAGUCCGUAGCUUUUGAAAAAUGUCAUUUGCCCUCCUGCAUUGUUAGAUAUACGACAAACCUCUCUCAGAUCUUGCAUUAAGACUGAUGGCUAAGAUCAAAAGGUGUUAGGAACCCAAGGAAAUGAAAAUGAAAAAUUGAUAGAGAACCAAAAGAAAUGAAUGAUUUUAUUUAAUAUUCGAUAAUAGGAGAAAGAUCUCUCCUUCACAGCUUUUCCCGUCACAACUGAGCUAUAGCUCUGUUUAACUCAUAGCUAACAGAUCUAAAUUCCGUCUCCCUUCUACGGCUCUACCCUUAAUCCGGUUUUAGCUCAAGCAUCCGUCUUUUAACCUCUUUGACUAUGUUCUAGUCCUUACUAUUGAUACUCUACUGUAACGGACUUGUAGCAAACUGUUGAUAUUUGGGAAUUUUUAUCAAAAGGCCUCAUUAAUGACCUAAGUGACCUGCCUAUUUAUUUUCUUGGCUUCGGUUCUUCAUUAAGGAUUUGUUUCACAAGCAUAAUAAGCUAGCCAAUAGCUUAUAUGAAUAUAAGCUCAUAUGACUAAAAAUGACUCGUUUGAUAACUGUCAUUUUCUCACGAGCUUAUAACUUAUUUUUACUAGCUUAUAACGUUUUUUGAUAAGCUAAUUCAAGUAGCUUAAAGCUUGUAGCUUGUCAUUUUCUCUCUCAAGUUUACCCCUGUUAUCUUAAUUGAAAAAAAUAAAAAUAUUAAUGAAAACUUUUAUUUUUUAUUUUUUAUGUCAUUUAAGAUUUAUAAGCUAGUUCAACCACUAAUUUUACCAAACACUACAAAUUCAAUCAGCUAGGUUAUAAGCUAUUAGCUAGCCCCUAUAAGCUUAUCCGCUAUACGCUAGCUUAUCAACUGUCCACUAUUUUUUACUAAACAGAGCUAAGCCAUUUGAUAUUUCUUCUGGCUUCUUAAGUACUCCUCUACCCUCUAAGUCCCUCAGAAACUGAAUUCAUGUCCCAAAUGUUUGGCAUAUAUAUCCCCCUCCUUGCUUAUGUAAAAUGUUCUCUGAAAGUCAAGUUUAUUUCAUCAAAUCAAAGUAGCUUAACAUCAUGGCUUUUCUAAAGCAUUAUAUUUUGAGCUCUUAUUCAUUGUAAAUUGUAAUAUUUGUCCUCCAGCAAAUAUAAUCUGAAUAUGUAUUGUAGCAUGCUUUUCUUUCUUUAAAAAAAAAGAAAGUAUUGUAGCAUGUUUUCUGUGCAUACUCCUGACCAUUGGAUGCAAUUUCUUGCAGAUGGACAAUUGACACUCCUCUGGACAUCACUGUCCCCUCAAAACAUACUCCAUGGCCAGAUGCUCCACCUGUGAUCCCAAUUAAUGAAAAAGUGGUAAUUGGCUCACAAGAACAGACGACCAAACAUUCUACAAAGACUAAAACAUCCAGACCCAGGCGCAGCCGAAGUAAGAGAAAGCAUGACACCAAAGUGAUAGGUGUGCAAGCCUCUACACUUUCUGAGGAACACUGAGAUGUCAAUAAAUGCAACUUUAGGAAUAUAUACUGUGUUAUGGUUACAAAACUGCCAGUUCUGGCCCUCAUUGACAAGAAUCUGGAUUCUGGAUCGAACAAAUGAAGAGGCUGAUUUUCUUACUGGAUACAUACUUGUAAACUGGGUUUUACCCUACAUCAUGUAGGCUACACGGGCCAGCAAAUGUUCAUUUGAGUCUGAUUCACCAAAUUUUUUUGUACUGAUUGUUUUGCUCAUUUUUGUUUAGGGUGAUAUAUAUUCUGUUCACAUGAAGCAAUGUCAUAUUUGUUUUGCAACAUUUGCUUCAUGGAAGGAAGCUUGUAGAAAUUUUCAUCGGCUGUAAUUGUAAUACAAGUUCUUCUCAAUAGGAGUAUAUAGUUUUUUUUUAGUUAUUUUUUCUUUUCAGUCUCAUAUUACUCUCCUUGGUUUUUCCAUAACAAGAUAUUUCGUCUAUCUGGCUAUUAUAAGAAUGUUUUCCACCAAUGACACGAGACAAACUUAGCCCAUCUAUUUCUAGUAAUUUUUUUGUUGGCAAAUGUUAACAGUUAAUUUAUCAGGGACGAGAAUGUUAAUAGUAAAUAUUAAAACAUUGGGUCUCAUGCAUAUAACUCCUUCGGUGUUCCAACGUAUAUAACUCCUUUUGGAACAUUUUUCUCACAGGUAUACAAUUUUGCAAAAGAUCUUUGCUAAUUAUUUUUACUAGUCGUUGAACCACCAAAGUGAGGAUCAUAAAACUUGAUUAUCCAGGACAAGUAAUGCCAAGUUUAGUAAUUGAAAAUAACUUGUUCAUUUCGUAUAAUUUGGUUUAUCACUCUACUGCUUAUUCUUUCUGGUAUAAGAACGCUGUUAAAUUUAUAUCGAGAGGGAAAAUCUAUCUUGUUUGCCCAACAAGUUUUUUGAGAGAGAUUAAUUACCUCUAUACGACGGUAAAAUUCUUGUACUUAUAACAUGGUAAUCUAAAAAACAUAUAGUAUUGAAUAUUUUGAUUCGUUGAACAUAUAUAAAAAUAAAAUCCCAAAUGAAAUACCUGUUUUGAAGAUAAUGUGUUAUUUUUUCCAAAGACAGUGGAGCCAUACGUCCAUACCUUUAGAAUGACUUAGCCAAGUGCAUGCUACUUGCUACUUGGGCAGUUAUUUAUAUAGUAUGUUUUUUGUGUGAUCCAUGCUACCCUAUGACAUUGCGGCUGUCAGAUUAAAUAAAUGUUGCAAUACGACCCCAUCACCGACCUCUGCAACUUGUGGACAUGAAAUGAAUUGUGUCCAUUAAGCACGAAUCACAAGUUUUUUUUUGUUUCCAAGCAAUUAAGGUCACUCAGAAUCUUCCCAUUCUUUAUUCUAUCCAAUCUCCUUAAACAGUUAAAGACCCAAUUCAAGUCCCAACCGAAAGUUUCUUAUGUCAAGCUUUUGAAUAAAAAAGAAUAAGGAUAAAGGAUUCAUUAACUUCAUUGCUAAGGUCCUCCUAUCACACAUCGCAUUUUUCAAGAAACUUUUAUUUUGCUAUCCGUUUUUUAUAUGGAUAAUGCAUUUCUUGUACAAGAAAAAAAUUAUUCGUGGGAUGAUGCAUUUUUUAAUAAAUAAAUGGAUAAUUCAUUUGGAGUAUAUGACCAUAUACUUUUUUUUCUCUCAAUGUUUCCCAAAUGAUUAUGUUACAUCUAUGUUAUACUAUUCAUGUUAGACAUUCAAUGUUUCUCAUACAUCGUCUAAAUAUCGUUAUAUUCUAGUCUCUUUCGUUAGAUCUAACCUUGUUGGUUGACUAGACAUAUACUCUUUUCCGUUACUAUUAUAGACAACAAAUUACAUUUCAAAUUUAUCGAAUAACAAAUGUAUCUGAUUUAUUAUAGGUUAGACACAUUAGUUAUUCAACAAAUUUAAAAAAUAAAGUCUUGUUUAUAAUAAUGAUUGGAAGGAGUACUAUAAAUUGUGUCUUGCUAACGACGGACUCUGAUACACUCUUUAAAAAUUAAGAAAUUAUUCCUUAAAAAAGUCAAAUUCUUCAAUUUCCAAUGCAUUGAAAGAUGGGUUGCCUACUGCAACACCCUAAUCAUUUUUAAAGAGAAAGAAAAUGAGUACUCGCGGGGCGGGGGCUACAGCCAAAACCCUUUAGGAAAACAAAAGCAAGAAAAAAAGAUUAAGAGAACGACCAACCUAAAAGCGGAAGGUACGACAACAAUGACGACUAGCGAGGCGAACAGUUGGAUGCACCUACCUUAAACCCUUUGAUAGGCUCAGUUUGCUGUUGCUUUAUCUAGCCGUUCUUCUUCUUCCUUGGGACCACCAAUUAAAAUUGUCCAGUUUAAACAUUUUAAGCCAUGUUAGCCUAGGAUUCCUUCAGAAAUUAUUGUGCCUCAAUAAGAACUAGCUCUAAAACUUGCAUGUCAUGAAUAAUAUUUGCACUAAAGUUUGACAAGUUAGAGUCUAUCAUAAAUAUGGAUAUACCAAAAGUCUCUCGAGCUAAAGUAUGUGUAACAUGAUGUCCUAAAGAUAGAAAGUCUGCUACUAAGUCAAAUGGAACCAUGAUAUUCCAAGAAGGGGUAUCUUGACAAUAAUCCAGAUCAAUGGCUGCUUCACUCCAAGGAUGAACGAUGUUGGACCACCCUCUGCUUCUCGGCCAAAGCAGAAUCCUCAACCUGCAAUGGUUGUACAUGGUGACCUGUUGCAACAAAUAUAUUAUGAACCUCUUCCUCAUGGUUUAAAACAUAUCCCACAAACUCACAAGUUGUAACUUCCUUAGACCAUAUUAUAUCAUCAAUAAGAGGGUCUUUUUCUACAACAGUUUUACUACAACCUGCAACAUUGUGUGGUGUACCUUUAGGUGGUAUAAUCACCUCAUCAACAGUCUUAAUAAUUGAGGCAGUAGGAUUAACAACCUGCACCAUAGGAGGAAUAUGAUACUUACAAUUCUUAAAGGAAUGUAUAAUAAUCUUACAUGAGUCUAUAGAGAUCUAUGCUCUGGAUUUCAAUGGGGCCUCCCACAAGUGGGAGGUGGGAUUGGACCCUUAGAUUAGUCGGCUCUUGGGGCUGGAUAUCAGGGUUUUUUUAUUUUUAUUUUAUUUUAUUUUUUAAUAAAAAAACUUGAGUUACAAAAUGUGGUAAGUUUCUCAUACUCAACAUCCACAUAAAAAUCAAAAUCCUUCUUUUCAAUGAGGAUUCUUUCACGCAUAUCUGAGGUUAGAUAAACCUCUAAUAGAACUCUUGCAAAAUGGCCGAAAGUUCUCUUCUUAGUUGCCUUAUCAAGAGUCAAAUGAGUUCUUAGAGCCCCUGGAAUUUCAAACAAUGUUAUUGGUCAUCGAUAUUCUCGAGCAAGACCAUGAAGGUGUUUCCAUGUUUGAGAAAUGGAUUGUUGUACUGUGUAAGGGUUGAAAUCAGCAAUCAAGCAAUGAUUUUCAGGAAGCUCAAUGAGAGAUUCCAAGAACCAAUAGAUCGAAUUGCACUAAGAUCAUUCAAGGAUGAAAAAACAAAUACAAAGUAACCUUUACAUAAUGAGAUGAUCACAGAGUAUUAGUUUUCCAAAAUUUAGGAUUUUUGGCUUCAAGUAUGGCAUACAGACUGGGAGGAACCCUUUAGGAGAGUGAGCCUCCCGUGAAGGACAUUUUGACAGUCUAAGACACUUGCCAAAUAUUUGUCUUUAGAAAUUUUGAUCGAGAUUUGCUCACCUUUUUGACAAGGUUUAGGCAAUUGCGCAGUAAAAAUGUGGCACGAGUUGGUUAGAGCUCGAGAAAACAAUUUAGUUACCAGUGGAAGUGAUCACACAUCAAAACCGAAAGGUAACAACACAUAAACCUCAACGCAACAAACAAGCAGUGGCAGACCCAUGUCUCUAAUCAAUGGAACAACGACGCAAACCUAGCAACCCAAAACCAUAUCAAAAGCAUGAAGAACGCCUAAAGUUCAAGGCUGAUAACCACUUCAUCAUUCUCUGGUCACCAAUAUGACCACUAAAGACUAUCACUCUAGUCAUCACUCCAACCACCACUAGCCGUUGCUUCGACCGUUUUCAAUCGCCACUUUGACCAUCACCAACUACCACUUUGAUCAUGAUUGGCCACUACUUUGACCACCGCUCCAUUCAUCGUUGAUCACCAAUUUGACCACCAUCAAGUACUACUUUCCCUAUCGAAAACCACCACUCUUGCCAGCGUUGGUCACCACUCCAACCACCGUUAAUCACCACUCAAUCCAUCUUUGAUCUCCAACAUGACUACCAUUAUGAGAACCACUUUGCCAACCUUUAACCACCACUUCGAGUGUUGUCAAUCACCACUCCAACGACCACUUUGAACACCUUCGACCACCACUUCGAGUGUUGUCAAUCACCACUCCAUGCACUUAUAAUAAACAAUGUUGCUACCAUUUAACCGUCGGCAACCACCACUCCGACCACCCCGACCAUCACUAUGAUCAUUGUCGAUCACAGCUCUGACCACUAUUGAUUACUAAUCGGACUGUGGUUUGCCAACUACUACCAUAUUCAACCACCAUUGUUAAAAUUACUACUAAAUUAAAACUUAUAUAAUUGUAAUAUUUUAAUUAUUUUGCAAACCUAAUGAUAUAAAUUAGGGCUGGACAAAAAAACCGAAUCCGGCCCAAUCCGUCCGGUCCGAUAGGCCCGCGGGUAGACGGGUCGGUUCCGCGGGCAACUCGGUUUAAGCAGUUUAAAGAGACACGGUUAAAGGUGGAUAGUGUUGGACGGUUCGGGUGGGGAUAUCCAAUCCAGCGGAACCCAUCACCGACCGAUAAUAGCUUUUAUUAUUAUUUUUUUCUUCAGCAUUUUAGUAUACUAGGGUUGAUAUAAAACCUUUUUUUCUUCUCAUUUCUAAAUCUCCUUUCUCUCUCUAAAUUGAAGCCGCCACCCACCCCUCUCUCUCAAGAACCACAACCUGUUACCAACAACUAUCCCUCCUUCUUUUCAAGCUUCUACUUCUACACUACCCAUCUCUCUUUUCUCUCUUCCAAAUUCUUUCCUCAUUUUCUUCUUCACAAUUCUUCUAUUUCUUCUCCAAACCCCAUCAUAUGUGUGACAUGAGUUUCAAAACUCUUAUCAUUUGACUCAAAUAAUAAGAUAAUCUUCCUCCACAAAGUAGAUCUGACAUGAGUUUUCCAAUUUUGAUGUUCUUGUUUGUUGUACAACUUAAAAUUUGAUGUUUUAAAGUUUCUUUUUGUUUGUAAUUUUUGUAUAAUACUACUGCUGGUUGAUGAUCUUUAUCAAUGGUAUAUUUCAGAAUUUUUGUCUAUGACUUUGAAAUUUGGCUUUUCAGCGUUUUUGUUCCUUCAUAUCCGCAUAAACCGAACCGCUAAACCGUGUUUCGACCAACCCGUCACCCGCCGUAACCGAACAAUCAAAUGGACGGAAAUGGGUUCUAAUUUAUAAACCGC
This 26108-nucleotide long non-coding RNA is filed under the name Medicago truncatula (barrel medic). RNAcentral describes it as "long non-coding RNA (MTRU_LNC002262)". The stretch from base 10449 to 10534 matches the Rfam family "MIR2617 microRNA precursor family". The record is from RNAcentral. Lineage: Eukaryota; Viridiplantae; Streptophyta; Magnoliopsida; Fabales; Fabaceae.